AUACGGAGGGUGCGAGCGUUAAUCGGAAUUACUGGGCGUAAAGCGCACGCAGGCGGUCUGUUAAGCUAGAUGUGAAAGCCCCGCGCUCAACGUGGGGAGGUCUAUUUAGAACUGGCAGACUAGAGUUCGUUGGAGGAGGGGAGUGGAACUUCCGAGGUGUAGCGGUAGAAAUGCGUAGAGAUCGUGGAAGGAACAUACAAGUGGACGGAAGGCAACC
RNAcentral lists this ribosomal RNA (217 nucleotides) under uncultured Alteromonadales bacterium. RNAcentral describes it as "partial 16S ribosomal RNA". It matches the Rfam family "Bacterial small subunit ribosomal RNA", at positions 523 to 726 of the family's 1533-position model. Lineage: Bacteria; Pseudomonadati; Pseudomonadota; Gammaproteobacteria; Alteromonadales. The record is from RNAcentral.